Molecule: ribosomal RNA, 500 nt
Filed under: Ganoderma bubalinomarginatum
Lineage: Eukaryota; Fungi; Basidiomycota; Agaricomycetes; Polyporales; Polyporaceae
Description: SSU rRNA
Rfam family: Bacterial small subunit ribosomal RNA
Source: RNAcentral
UCAUAGAAUUUUUUAAAUUCAUGAUGUCGUAAGGGAAAAUAAUGAUAAUACCUUACUAUGAGUGUCGUCCAAAUCUGGUGCCAGAAGACUCGGUAAGACCAGAGACGCAAACGUUAAUCAUCAUAAACAGGCGUAAAGGGUUUGUAGGCAGCUUUUAUAGGAUUAUUAUAAAAAGGUAAUUUAAAUUAAAAGCUAGAAUCAAAAAGAGGUUAUAGUGUAUAACGCCUAGAGGAGGGCUGAUAUCCGUAGAUCCUAGGCAGAAUACUCAGGGCGAAGGCCACUCUCCACUAAUGAUUGACGCUGAGAAACGAAGGUUAGGGUAGGAAAUAGGAUUAGAUACCCCGGUACUCCUUUCUGUAAACGAUGAAUGGUAGUCAUUAGUAAAAAUAACUAGAGGCGAAGUUAACACAAUAACCAUUCCGCCUUGUGAGUACUACUGCAAAGUAGAAAACAAAAAAAUUAGUCGGUCUCGAAGCAAACGGAGUGAAGCAUGUUAUUUA